Molecule: ribosomal RNA, 429 nt
Filed under: Chloroflexota bacterium
Lineage: Bacteria; Bacillati; Chloroflexota
Description: Chloroflexi bacterium partial 16S ribosomal RNA
Rfam family: Bacterial small subunit ribosomal RNA
Source: RNAcentral
UGGGGAAUAUUGCACAAUGGGCGCAAGCCUGAUGCAGCCAUGCCGCGUGUGUGAAGAAGGCCUUCGGGUUGUAAAGUACUUUCAGUCGGGAGGAAGGUGGUAAGGUUAAUAACCUUAUCAAUUGACGUUACCGACAGAAGAAGCACCGGCUAACUCCGUGCCAGCAGCCGCGGUAAUACGGAGGGUGCAAGCGUUAAUCGGAAUUACUGGGCGUAAAGCGCACGCAGGCGGUUGAUUGAGUCAGAUGUGAAAUCCCCGGGCUUAAACCGGGAAUUGCAUCUGAUACUGGUCAGCUAGAGUCUUGUAGAGGGGGGUAGAAUUCCAUGUGUAGCGGGGAAAUGCGUAGAGAUGUGGAGGAAUACCGGUGGCGAAGGCGGCCCCAUGGACGAAGACUGACGCUCAGGUGCGAAAGCGUGGGGAGCAAACAGG